This 434-nucleotide ribosomal RNA is filed under the name uncultured bacterium. Its description in RNAcentral is "partial 16S ribosomal RNA". It matches the Rfam family "Bacterial small subunit ribosomal RNA", at positions 29 to 506 of the family's 1533-position model. The record is from RNAcentral.
AACGAACGCUGGCGGCAGGCUUAACACAUGCAAGUCGAACGCAUGCCUUCGGGCAUGAGUGGCAGACGGGUGAGUAACGCGUGGGAACCUACCCCUUGGUACGGGAUAGCUCCGGGAAACUGGAGAUAAUACCGUAUGUGUCCUGAGGGACAAAGAUUCAUCGCCAAGGGAUGGGCCCGCGUCGGAUUAGCUAGUUGGUGGGGUAACGGCCUACCAAGGCGACGAUCCGUAGCUGGUCUAAGAGGAUGAUCAGCCACAUUGGGACUGAGACACGGCCCAAACUCCUACGGGAGGCAGCAGUGGGGAAUAUUGGACAAUGGGCGCAAGCCUGAUCCAGCCAGGCCGCGGGAGUGAUGAAGGCCCUAGGGUUGUAAAGCUCUUUCACCGGUGACGAUAAUGACGGUACCCGGAGAAGAAGCCCCGGCUAACUUCGG